UACUCGAGUGGCGAACGGGUGAGUAACACGUAGGUGAUCUGCCUUGCACUCUGGGAUAAGCUUGGGAAACUGGGUCUAAUACCGGAUAGGAACCGUCUUUAGUGUGGUGGUUGGAAAGUUUUUUCGGUGUAGGAUGAGCUCGCGGCCUAUCAGCUUGUUGGUGGGGUAAUGGCCUACCAAGGCGGCGACGUGUAGCCGGCCUGAGAGGGUGGACGGCCACAUUGGGACUGAGAUAACUGCCCAG
This 244-nucleotide ribosomal RNA is filed under the name uncultured Actinomycetales bacterium. RNAcentral's name for it is "partial 16S ribosomal RNA". It matches the Rfam family "Bacterial small subunit ribosomal RNA", at positions 88 to 334 of the family's 1533-position model. Lineage: Bacteria; Bacillati; Actinomycetota; Actinomycetes; Actinomycetales. The record is from RNAcentral.